Molecule: unclassified non-coding RNA, 239 nt
Filed under: Hevea brasiliensis (rubber tree)
Lineage: Eukaryota; Viridiplantae; Streptophyta; Magnoliopsida; Malpighiales; Euphorbiaceae
Source: RNAcentral
CCUCCAUGCACUAGCUAGCCCUUCUCUGUCUGUUAGUGAUCAUGAAGAAUCCAAUGCGACUAUUCUCCGUCGUUUUCCUUCUCUUGCUGCUUGUGGCCACGGAGAUGGGGCCAAUAAUGGUUGCUGAGGCCAGGACAUGCGAGUCUCAGAGCCAUCGAUUUAAGGGCAUAUGCAUUCGGCACAGCAACUGCGCUACUAUUUGCCAAACUGAAGGCUUCCAUGGAGGACACUGCCGAGGG